AGGGAGAGCUAGAAGAAGAGGUUGAAAAUCUGAGGCAGUCUUGGAUAAGGGGCGAAGCAGAUAAUUCGAGAUCGGAAGGAGCAGAGCUUCCCUAGGGCUCUUUUUGGCCUUCCGUCUUUCCAUGCAUACAUUUUCUCUUUUAUUGUUUUGUCUUGCUCUCGUCGUUUUGUUUUUCUUCCCUUGGCCUGCUGGGCUUUGUAGUGUAUAUUUUGUGAAUG
This 218-nucleotide long non-coding RNA is filed under the name Elaeis guineensis (African oil palm). RNAcentral describes it as "long non-coding RNA (EGUI_LNC065339)". Lineage: Eukaryota; Viridiplantae; Streptophyta; Magnoliopsida; Arecales; Arecaceae. The record is from RNAcentral.